Long non-coding RNA from Hippocampus comes (tiger tail seahorse), 1395 nucleotides. RefSeq lists it as uncharacterized. The record is from RefSeq and is a predicted model, not a curated record. Lineage: Eukaryota; Metazoa; Chordata; Actinopteri; Syngnathiformes; Syngnathidae. The transcript is spliced from 3 exons.
UUCGUUCCACACGGAGGACUCGCGAGCGGCACGGAGCGAGCGCCGGGUGAUUGGCAGGCGCCGACCUCUCGUCACCUCAGGGCACGUUGGAGCGGCUGUCAAUCAUCCAUCCGGCAUGCUGUCUAAUUGUGACUGGCCGGCCGCACAGCAGGGCAAACGCUAAGUGCGUCUGACACCAACGUAUGGCAAUAUGGCCCCCCCGCCACCGCUCUCAUACUUCGUCUGUCCGCUGCCCGUUGAGUCGCCGCGUUUGACCUGGCCACAUCAAAGAUUCAAAAGUCAGGUUCAACGACGACGUCCUCAUGAAACACCAUUUACUUUGGUAAGUGUGUGUGUGUGUGUGGAAAUGGCCUGUCGAAUGUGAGCUUGUGUAAUGAACAAGAGCCAUUCAUUAUAUAUCACACACACAUGCACACACACAGGCACACAUCAUUUAUUCAUCUGUCUGUAAACAUGACUGUGAUUUACAGUGUGUGUGGGGGGGGGUGCUCUUUAUUAUGUGUCUUUACAUGUAGGAGUUCAUACACAGUUGAAGUUCAUGUCAAGAGUUUCCCUCUACCGUAAUGUGUGUCUAUUCAUGCAUAUUAAUAAAAAUGAAUACAAAUCAGUCUUGUGACGCUUGUAGGUUCGCACAUGUCGAGAAUUUCCACCCUGGGUAAGAACGUGUCUACCACCCGGAGAUGUCGGAACAUGUCGGAGUGCGUCCACGUCAGAGUCGAUCCAUGCAGAAAAUGUCAAUCAAUAAUAUGAAGCAAAUAAACGGGUGGCCGUACCCGUCGAAGUUGAUGUCGAGAGCUGUGUACCUGGUCUGUGCAUCUCCACACGUAGGAGUUCACACGUCAGAUAAAAGCGUCCCCUUUUUUUCCGUUGGCGACGUUAUCUCCCAUCUGUUGUUUCAAAUCAGGCCGGUUUGCAUUCAAACUUCCAACGGCAGAUUUUUCCUCUCUCAGGGCCAAAAUUCUUUUCUUGCUCUUGUCUGUUAUUGUUUGUCAGAACAAGAGGGAUCAAAUCCGCGCACUUCAAGCGUUUUUUUUUUUUUUUUAAGCCGGGCGCAAUCGCCUGAGGGGGACGUAUCAGGUUAGUCGGUGGGAAGUUUGAAAGUGGCAUUUUUUUCAAAUCCAGAUACCGUUUGGUUUUUAUUCACGUGAAAUUCCCCAUGCUUGUACAAGUAGGAAAACUGUUUCAUGAUUUCUUGCCGGUGUGUGUUUUGUCUGCCGGUCGGCCCCGGGGCUGCUGGAUAAUGUGGCGGGGAUCUCGAAAGCCGAGUGGGGGGCUUGGGGGCGGAGGGGGCAGGGUAAAUGUGUACUGUAAAUGGCCCACGGGCCCUAGUUUGCCCACCCCUGUUUUUCUCCUCACAUCUGUCCGUACAAUAAAACAAAAUAGCUGACAAAGUGA